AGACCCGAAACCCGGUGAUCUAGCCAUGGGCAGGUUGAAGGUUGGGUAACACUAACUGGAGGACCGAACCGACUAAUGUUGAAAAAUUAGCGGAUGACCUGUGGCUGGGGGUGAAAGGCCAAUCAAACCGGGAGAUAGCUGGUUCUCCCCGAAAGCUAUUUAGGUAGCGCCUCGUGAAUUCAUCUCCGGGGGUAGAGCACUGUUUCGGCUAGGGGGCCAUCCCGGCUUACCAACCCGAUGCAAACUGCGAAUACCGGAGAAUGUUAUCACGGGAGACACACGGCGGGUGCUAACGUCCGUCGUGAAGAGGGAAACAACCCAGACCGCCAGCUAAGGUCCCAAAGUCAUGGUUAAGUGGGAAACGAUGUGGGAAGGCCCAGACAGCCAGGAUGUUGGCUUAGAAGCAGCCAUCAUUUAAAGAAAGCGUAAUAGCUCACUGGUCGAGUCGGCCUGCGCGGAAGAUGUAACGGGGCUAAACCAUGCACCGAAGCUGCGGCAGCGAACGUAUCACUUAAAGCGAUUCAGCGGGUUACGAUUGACGGAGCGAAGCGACGUCAAAGCGUAUACAAAGUCGAGUCGGUUUAAGGAUACGUUCGUUGGGUAGGGGAGCGUUCUGUAAGCCUGUGAAGGUGGCCUGUGAGGGUUGCUGGAGGUAUCAGAAGUGCGAAUGCUGACAUAAGUAACGAUAAAGCGGGUGAAAAGCCCGCUCGCCGGAAGACCAAGGGUUCCUGUCCAACGUUAAUCGGGGCAGGGUGAGUCGACCCCUAAGGCGAGGCCGAAAGGCGUAGUCGAUGGGAAACAGGUUAAUAUUCCUGUACUUGGUGUUACUGCGAAGGGGGGACGGAGAAGGCUAUGUUGGCCGGGCGACGGUUGUCCCGGUUUAAGCGUGUAGGUGUGUGUUCCAGGUAAAUCCGGUUCACUUUAACACUGAGGCGUGAUGACGAGGCACUACGGUGCUGAAGCAACAAAUGCCCUGCUUCCAGGAAAAGCCUCUAAGCAUCAGGUAACAUCAAAUCGUACCCCAAACCGACACAGGUGGUCAGGUAGAGAAUACCAAGGCGCUUGAGAGAACUCGGGUGAAGGAACUAGGCAAAAUGGUGCCGUAACUUCGGGAGAAGGCACGCUGACACGUAGGUGAAGUGAUUUACUCAUGGAGCUGAAGUCAGUCGAAGAUACCAGCUGGCUGCAACUGUUUAUUAAAAACACAGCACUGUGCAAACACGAAAGUGGACGUAUACGGUGUGACGCCUGCCCGGUGCCGGAAGGUUAAUUGAUGGGGUCAGCGCAAGCGAAGCUCCUGAUCGAAGCCCCGGUAAACGGCGGCCGUAACUAUAACGGUCCUAAGGUAGCGAAAUUCCUUGUCGGGUAAGUUCCGACCUGCACGAAUGGCGUAAUGAUGGCCAGGCUGUCUCCACCCGAGACUCAGUGAAAUUGAACUCGCUGUGAAGAUGCAGUGUACCCGCGGCAAGACGGAAAGACCCCGUGAACCUUUACUAUAGCUUGACACUGAACAUUGAGCCUUGAUGUGUAG
RNAcentral lists this ribosomal RNA (1531 nucleotides) under Salmonella enterica subsp. enterica serovar Thompson. RNAcentral describes it as "partial 23S ribosomal RNA". It matches the Rfam family "Bacterial large subunit ribosomal RNA", at positions 711 to 2141 of the family's 2925-position model. The record is from RNAcentral. RNAcentral also lists the same sequence under 1 other name. Lineage: Bacteria; Pseudomonadati; Pseudomonadota; Gammaproteobacteria; Enterobacterales; Enterobacteriaceae.